AAGUUUAGGUUAACCCAGCCACCAAACCAAGGACCUUCAAAGCCCUAAACAGGGACCAACCCCCUAACUUCUG
RNAcentral lists this transfer RNA (73 nucleotides) under Goggia rupicola. RNAcentral describes it as "tRNA-Trp". Lineage: Eukaryota; Metazoa; Chordata; Lepidosauria; Squamata; Gekkonidae. The record is from RNAcentral.